Molecule: ribosomal RNA, 524 nt
Filed under: uncultured Bacteroides sp.
Lineage: Bacteria; Pseudomonadati; Bacteroidota; Bacteroidia; Bacteroidales; Bacteroidaceae
Description: bacterial SSU rRNA
Rfam family: Bacterial small subunit ribosomal RNA
Source: RNAcentral
AGAGUUUGAUCCUGGCUCAGGAUGAACGCUAGCUACAGGCUUAACACAUGCAAGUCGAGGGGCAGCGGGAUUGAAGCUUGCUUCAAUUGCCGGCGACCGGCGCACGGGUGAGUAACGCGUAUCCAACCUUCCGUACACUCAGGGAUAGCCUUUCGAAAGAAAGAUUAAUACCUGAUGGUAUCUUAAGCACACAUGUAAUUAAGAUUAAAGAUUUAUCGGUGUACGAUGGGGAUGCGUUCCAUUAGGUAGUAGGCGGGGUAACGGCCCACCUAGCCAACGAUGGAUAGGGGUUCUGAGAGGAAGGUCCCCCACAUUGGAACUGAGACACGGUCCAAACUCCUACGGGAGGCAGCAGUGAGGAAUAUUGGUCAAUGGACGAGAGUCUGAACCAGCCAAGUAGCGUGAAGGAUGAAGGUCCUACGGAUUGUAAACUUCUUUUAUAAGGGAAUAAACCCUCCCACGUGUGGGAGCUUGUAUGUACCUUAUGAAUAAGCAUCGGCUAACUCCGUGCCAGCAGCCGCGGU